AUGCAAGUCGAACGAGAACCGGGUAGCAAUACCCGGGGAAAGUGGCGAAAGGGGCAGUAAUGCGUGGGUAACCUACCCUGGGGUUGGGCAUAGCCGGUCUAACGACCGGGUAAUUCCCAGCGACGUCAUUCGGGGGCAUCUCCGGUUGACCAAAGAUUUAUCGCCCCGGGAGGGGCCCACGUGAUAUUAGCUUGUUGGUGAGGUAACGGCUCACCAAGGCGAAGAUGUCUAGCGGGUGUGAGAGCACGACCCGCGCCACUGGCACUGAGACACUGGCCAGACUCCUACGGGAGGCUGCAGUCGAGGAUCUUCGGCAAUGGGCGCAAGCCUGACCGAGCGACGCCGCGUGUGCGAUGAAGGCCUUCGGGUUGUAAAGCACUGUCGAGGGGGAGGAAGCCGAAAGGUUGACCUAUCCCUGUAGGAAGCACGGGCUAAAUUCGUGCCAGCAGCCGCGGUAAGACGAACCGUGCAAACGUUGUUCGGAAUCACUGGGCUUAAAGGGCGCGUAGGCGGGCCAGCCAGUCUGUGGUGAAAGCCUCCAGCUUAACUGGGGAAGUGCCGUGGAUACUGCUGGCCUCCAGGAGGGUAGGGGCAUCUGGAACGGUCGGUGGAGCGGUGAAAUGCGUUGAUAUCGACCGGAACUCCGGUGGCGAAAGCGAGGUGCUGGGCCCUUUCUGACGCUGAGUGCGCGAAAGCCAGGGGAGCAAACGGGAUUAGAUACCCCGGUAGUCCUGGCCCUAAACGUUGAGGACUAGGUAGUGGACUUAACAUGGGUUCACUGUCGGAACAAAAGUGCU
RNAcentral lists this ribosomal RNA (797 nucleotides) under uncultured Planctomycetota bacterium. Its description in RNAcentral is "bacterial SSU rRNA". It matches the Rfam family "Bacterial small subunit ribosomal RNA", at positions 55 to 861 of the family's 1533-position model. The record is from RNAcentral. Lineage: Bacteria; Pseudomonadati; Planctomycetota.